GAAAUGCGAUACGUAAUGCGAAUUGCAGAACGCGAGUCAUCAAAUCUUUGAACGCACCUGGCGCUUCCGCUAAUCCGGGAGCAUGCUUGUUUCAGUGUCGUCUUUUCCUCUCCCGGCUACCCGCUCGUGGAGGUCGAUGAGCCUCUCGCUGCCCACGCGCAGCGGCAGGCUUCAAGUGGAGUCAUUGACAUGUUCGCAGCGGCGUGCGCCGUCUUGCUGGCAUGGUGUGGUAGUGUUGGACGCGCCUCACGGCGUGGCCUCUCACAAACGCCCCCAAGCCGCUACAAGGCAAGGCAGCGAUUACAACGCGUCGCAAUCAAAAUGCGCAACGUGAGGCGCCCUCAACCGGCGCCGACAACCCAACCUUUCAAAUACCGACCUGAAAUCAAGCAAGAGGACC
RNAcentral lists this unclassified non-coding RNA (400 nucleotides) under uncultured fungus. Its description in RNAcentral is "sequence contains ITS1". The stretch from base 1 to 100 matches the Rfam family "5.8S ribosomal RNA", at positions 50 to 154 of the family's 154-position model. Lineage: Eukaryota; Fungi. The record is from RNAcentral.